AAAGCUGUUCUCAAAUUUACAUGCCUGUUUUACUUCCUCCCAAAACUCAAACAAAGGACAACAGCUUGAGCUAUCAUCAUCAUUACUAACUAUAAUAAAAUUUUAUCAAGAGGGGAGGGGGGGAGGAGGGAGGGGGGAAGAGAGAGAGAGAGCAACAACUCAAACCCGAAAUUUCAAAACAAACUGUUGAAUUACAAAAUUCCAAUUUCCGAUUCCUCCUAAUUCCCGACAUUUCCCACUAACCAAACAGAAUAUCAACAUAGCCGAUCAAAAUACAAGGAAAUCCCUAGGCAAUAAAAAUAAAUAAUCAUAUACAGUAAUCCAUUUCAAACCCUUGAGAGUCCGCAACUCAACGACUAAUCAAACUUGUACAGAAAAGGACUUCAAAUCACCAUAUGCUUAACUGAGAUCAGAUUUCUAAGUUCUAACAGGCCAACAACCAAAUUUA
RNAcentral lists this unclassified non-coding RNA (448 nucleotides) under Hevea brasiliensis (rubber tree). Lineage: Eukaryota; Viridiplantae; Streptophyta; Magnoliopsida; Malpighiales; Euphorbiaceae. The record is from RNAcentral.